Non-coding RNA from Nicotiana tabacum (common tobacco), 987 nucleotides. NCBI's taxonomy places the organism in Eukaryota, Viridiplantae, Streptophyta, Magnoliopsida, Solanales, Solanaceae. The record is from RefSeq and is a predicted model, not a curated record.
AAAACCGUUUACUUCAGCAUAAAAUUAUCUAAAUUAAAUUUAUUUUUAUUAAUUGUACUCAAACGUUGCCCGAAGCGUUAAACACCAGAAAAAUCGGUUACCAGAUUUUUACUUGAAUAAACCCUAUAUUUUAUCCGCAGAGUCACGUUUCCUCUCUGCAGAGUCACGUUAAUUUGAACUGUCAAACCCAGGAUUUGCAAAACUGGGUAUAAACUGCUGCAACAUCAAAAUAUAUUUCUUUUAUUUUUGUAUCUGGUUUUACAUGUGUUGUGGAUUUGAGCAGUCAAGAUGGUUGGAUCAGACGAGAACUUUUCAGGUGUGAUGAGGGCUUCAAAUCUUCAAGGGGGGUUAAGGCCUGGUGUUGGAGGAGGAAAAUUGACUGCAGGAGUUGGACAAAAUAGGAGGGCACUUAGUACAAUCAAUAGGAAUGUAAUUGGAGCUCCCCCUUUAACCUAUGCUGUCAACAAGAGAAAUGGCAUUUCUGACAACAAAGCCAAUGCUGCUAACAAAAUCCCUCCUGUUCCGAUUCAUCGUCCAAUCACAAGAAGUUAGCUGCACAAAUCGCAAGCAAACAACAGCAAUCUGCAGUUGAGGUGACAAAGCGACCAGUCCCAGUGGCACCAGAUAGAAAUGAAUCAGAAGACUGCAUUAUUAUCGAUGCUGAAGAAUACAAGGCUACUGGUGAUUCUUCCGUGCCAAUGUUUGUGCAACAUACUGAAGCAAUGAUGGUGGAAAUUGAUAGGAUGGACGAGGAGAUAGAAAUGGAAGAUGUAGAAGACUGUCCAAUUGUGGAUAUAGACAGCACUGAUAAAAAGAACACGCUUGCAGUUGUGGAGUACAUUGAUGACAUCUAUGCUUACUACAGGAAGACUGAGAUGAGAAGGAACGGUUCAGGGACUUACGAGCUCAGAAGAGUCUGAGUACCAUUGACCCAAGCUCCGAAGAAGUCAGAGAGUAUUUCCGUAAAGAGGAAUUCCUUAGGUAUUC